AGAGUUUGAUCAUGGCUCAGAUUGAACGCUGGCGGCAGGCCUAACACAUGCAAGUCGAGCGGAUGAAAGGAGCUUGCUCCUGGAUUCAGCGGCGGACGGGUGAGUAAUGCCUAGGAAUCUGCCUGGUAGUGGGGGACAACGUUUCGAAAGGAACGCUAAUACCGCAUACGUCAUACGGGAGAAAGCAGGGGACCUUCGGGCCUUGCGCUAUCAGAUGAGCCUAGGUCGGAUUAGCUAACUGGUGAGGUAAUGGCUCACCAAGGCGACGAUCCGUAACUGGUCUGAGAGUAUGAUCAGUCACACUGGAACUGAGACACGGUCCGGCCUCCUACGGGAGGCAGCAGUGGGGAAUAUUGGACAAUGGGCGAAAGCCUGAUCCAGCCAUGCCGCGUGUGUGAAGAAGGUCUUCGGAUUGUAAAGCACUUUAAGUUGGGAGGAAGGGUUGUAGAUUAAUACUCUGCAAUUUUGACGUUACCGACAGAAUAAGCACCGGCUAACUCUGUGCCAGCAGCCGCGGUAAUACAGAGGGUGCAAGCGUUAAUCG
This 544-nucleotide ribosomal RNA is filed under the name Pseudomonas fluorescens. RNAcentral's name for it is "bacterial SSU rRNA". It matches the Rfam family "Bacterial small subunit ribosomal RNA", at positions 8 to 547 of the family's 1533-position model. Lineage: Bacteria; Pseudomonadati; Pseudomonadota; Gammaproteobacteria; Pseudomonadales; Pseudomonadaceae. The record is from RNAcentral.